AAAAUAAUCCUACCCUUUGUGAAUUUUGUUUGUUUGAAUAAUUUUUUUUUUUAAAAAAUUAUUGGAGUCUUUCCCUUUAAGUUUGCUUUUGAGUUUGUAAAAGAAUUCGAAAACAUCUAAAGGGGAUGGUCAAUAAUUUUUUUGAAAAAAGACAUUUUUUAAAAUUAAACUUUUUGUAUUCAUUUGUCUAAAAAUUAUUUUUAUAAUAUAAAAACAACUUUUGGCAAUGGAUCUCUUGGUUCUCGCAACGAUGAAGAACGCAGCAAAAUGCGAUAAGUAGUGUGAAUUGCAGAAUACGUGAAUCAUCGAAUCUUUGAACGCAUAUUGCACUUUUUUAGUUUACUAAAAAAGUAUGUCUGUUUGAGUAUCAGUAAAAUAUUCUCAUAAAAAUCAUUGUGUAUUUUUAUGGUUAUGAGUGUUUUACAACGAUACAAGUUGUUUCACUUUAAAUUUUUUUUUAAUAUUGAAAUUUUUCUAAUUUUAAUAAUUAAAAUUGGAUAAAAUUUUCCCGUCAAAAGGAAUAACCUAAACAAUUUUAAAUGAUUAAUUUUAGCAAAAUUUUCGAAAAAAAGGAAAAUUUUUAUUAAAAUAACUUGAUCUCAAAUCAGAUAAGAGUACCCGCUGAACUUAAGCAUAUCAAUAAGCGGAGGAAAAGAAACUAACAAGGAUUCCCUUAGUAACGGCGAGUGAAGCGGGAAGAGCUCAAAUUUGAAAUCUUCAAGGUUUUACCUUGACGAAUUGUAGUUUAAAGAAGUGUUUUCUGCUGAAGUUUUGGUAAAAGUUCUUUGGAAUAGGACAUCAUAGAGGGUGAGAAUCCCGUAUUUGACCAUUAUUUUCAGCUUUGUGAUACACUUUCAAAGAGUCGGAUUGUUUGGGAAUGCAGUCCAAAAUGGGUGGUAAAUUUCAUCUAAAGCUAAAUAUUGGCGAGAGACCGAUAGCGAACAAGUACCGUGAGGGAAAGAUGAAAAGAACUUUGAAAAGAGAGUUAAACAGUAUGUGAAAUUGUCAAAAGGGAAGCGUUUGACACCAGUGUUGUUUUCUCGAAAAUCAAUUAAAAAUGGCUCGAUUUUGUAUUGCUGAGACCUUAAAAGCUCACUGUACAUUUUUCGUGUCUUUUUUAAUGCACUUUUCGUUUAACAAGUCAACAUCAGUUUCUUUUGUUGUAAAAGGGUCAUUGGAAGGUGGCUUUCUUUUCGGAGAAAGUGUUUAUAGCCUUUGGCCUCUGCAAUCGGAGAGACUGAGGUCUGCAGCGUAGACUCUUCGGGUUAGAUACAUUUGUGCUAAGUUAUAGCUUUUUAUAGACAACUUGUUGACUAUAAUUAGUCUUGUAGCUUACUCGCUUAUG
RNAcentral lists this unclassified non-coding RNA (1345 nucleotides) under uncultured Neocallimastigales. Its description in RNAcentral is "partial contains internal transcribed spacer 1, 5.8S ribosomal RNA, internal transcribed spacer 2, and large subunit ribosomal RNA". The stretch from base 595 to 1345 matches the Rfam family "Eukaryotic large subunit ribosomal RNA", at positions 1 to 634 of the family's 3401-position model. The record is from RNAcentral. Lineage: Eukaryota; Fungi; Neocallimastigomycota; Neocallimastigomycetes; Neocallimastigales.